This 206-nucleotide long non-coding RNA is filed under the name Salvia miltiorrhiza (redroot sage). RNAcentral's name for it is "long non-coding RNA (SMIL_LNC009360)". Lineage: Eukaryota; Viridiplantae; Streptophyta; Magnoliopsida; Lamiales; Lamiaceae. The record is from RNAcentral.
GAAAAGAAUUGGAAAAAAAAUGGGUACAUAGGAUGCAUUAGAGAGACAUAAUGUUAUGAGAAAUAAUUGUUGAGUUGUGAUGGUUUUCGUAUUGAAAAAUUUGGUUUUGCGGAAGGUGGAGGAUAGAAUUGAGUAAGAAUGCUAUAAGGUUGGUGAUUAUGCUACAUUGAGAGUAUCUAUUAGUCACUUAGCCAAAUAUAUUCUAC